AGGAUCAUUACCGAGCGAGGGCCCUCUGGGUCCAACCUCCCACCCGUGUUUAUUGUACCUUGUUGCUUCGGCGGGCCCGCCGUCAUAGCCGCCGGGGGGCACCCGCCCCCGGGCCCGCGCCCGCCGAAGACCCCCUUGAACCCUGUCUAAAGAUUGCAGUCUGAGCGAUUAGCUAAAUCAGUUAAAACUUUCAACAACGGAUCUCUUGGUUCCGGCAUCGAUAAAGAACGCAGCGAAAUGCGAUAAGUAAUAUGAAUUGCAGAAUUCAGUGAAUCAUCGAGUCUUUGAACGCACAUUGCGCCCCCUAGUAUUCCGGGGGGCAUACCUAUCCGAGCGUCAUUGCUGCCCUCAAGCACGGCUUGUGUGUUGGGCCCCGCCCCCCGGUCCCGGGGGGCGGGCCCGAAAGGCAGCGGCGGCACCGCGUCCGGUCCUCA
Molecule: unclassified non-coding RNA, 434 nt
Filed under: Penicillium melanosporum
Lineage: Eukaryota; Fungi; Ascomycota; Eurotiomycetes; Eurotiales; Aspergillaceae
Description: Penicillium sp. ERA-2019a sequence contains 18S rRNA gene, ITS1, 5.8S rRNA gene, ITS2
Rfam family: 5.8S ribosomal RNA (bases 186-339)
Source: RNAcentral